UUCGUUUUGGGUCACUUUCAGAGGACAAAUAAACUAAUUACCUGAGACCAAAUUAAAUGAAUUUCUAAAAGCUAAACGAUGCCAACAUCAUUUUAUUCAUAUAUUUGUGCCAAGGAGAGAUGUUUCCAAGAUUAUGAAAGUUCAGGACUUGGGUAACAGCUCUUGAGUCAGUACUUUUUCCCUGGUAGAAAUGGCUUUGGUUUGGAGGCGACGAUCAUAACUGGAGGUCAAACUCUGGGAAGGCUUGCAGCUGCAGAUGGGCCGCAUACUCUGUGGUUGCCCUGAUCCACUGGGAUGUGUGAUAUGUAACUGUUAUCUCAAACACUGUAUUCACUGAUGUAAUGUUCAUGUGAGGAGCAGUCCCGUCACUGGAACUCUGGAUUCUCCAGCCCAUUUCAACAUGCCAGCUGGAUUUUGCCUGCCAUUUUUCAUCAUCGUGAGAUACCACGAUAUUACUCAUGCCAACAUACUACAGAGGGUAUCCUAGGGCCUCGGCAAGAUCUUGUGCAAGUUUAAAUGAAGCCCUGAAGCUUGAAGUUUAUUAGCCGUAUGGGAAGAAUUGGAAAUCAGAGUGGAGUAUCGCUCAGUCUCCUUGGAAGCAGAAGUUCAAUUCCCAGGACCUAGCACUGAGUCAUCUAUUAGAACCUCAUACCCACUGUGAUGAUAUUAAGAGGUGAAGCCUCUGGAAAAUGAUCAAGUCACUGAGGAACUCUCAACCUUCUACAAAAAGCUCCAGAGAGCUCCCUGGCCUCCUUCUGCCGCAUGAAGAUGCUCGGAAGGUGCCAUCUCUGAUCCAGAAACUGGAUCUGCUGGCAUCUUGAUCUUGGACUUCUCAGCCUCCAGAAUUGUGGCACUGCCAAUAGGCUUGCAGCCUGGAUGGAAUGAAAAGGCAGAAGGAGGAAGUCCGCCGGUAUUUGAAAAGUUCCACUCUGCUCGAAUGAGUGCAUCUUUUGCUUCGACCAUCACCAGUGGACAUGAGAUUCCUGCUUCUUCAGGCUUUCAACUCAGACUCUCACCAGUGACUCUCCAGGGAACUUCCAGGCUUUUGGUCUUAGACUUGUGCUGGCUGCAUCAAUCCCUCUUGUUCUAUGGCUUCGUGCUUCUCACGUUGAGCAGCUCCUGGAUCCCCUGAUCUCCAGCAUGCAGACAGCCAUGGUGGGGUCUCCCACUUCUGAUCCUGUAAGCCUUCCUAAUAAAAGCCCUUGCCUGA
RNAcentral lists this long non-coding RNA (1210 nucleotides) under Heterocephalus glaber (naked mole-rat). Its description in RNAcentral is "lncRNA (ENSHGLG00100045876.1)". The record is from RNAcentral. Lineage: Eukaryota; Metazoa; Chordata; Mammalia; Rodentia; Bathyergidae.